Molecule: ribosomal RNA, 354 nt
Filed under: uncultured eukaryote
Lineage: Eukaryota
Description: partial 18S ribosomal RNA
Rfam family: Eukaryotic small subunit ribosomal RNA
Source: RNAcentral
CAAUAGCGUAUAUUAAAGUUGUUGCGGUUAAAAAGCUCGUAGUUGGAACUCUGUGAAGGCGAAGCGGUCUUCCCAACGGGAAGUGCGUUUGGCUUUCGCAAUUGACCCAGAGUCGUCAGACGCUCGGUCCCUUUACCUUGAGGAAAUCAGAGUGUUCACAGCAGGCACGCGCCUUGGAUGUUGUAGCAUGGGAUAUUAAGACAAAGUCCAGCUGCUCUUGCUGGUUCAAGCUGCUGGAUUCAAGAUCAAUAGAAACAGUCGGGGGGCAUUCGUAUUUGAGCGUCAGAGGUGAAAUUCUUGGAUUGCACAAAGACGAACUACUGCGAAAGCAUUUGCCAAGGAUGCUUCCGUUGA